CUAAUUACUGGAAUUGACCGUCAAUUUCUUCCAAUCCCGUAAAUUUCUUCAAUUUCUUGAUCACUUCUGCAGAUCCUAUGGAAAAGUUUCCCUUUUUAUGAAAGUUUAACUAAAAUUUCAAACUAAGGCAUGAGAGAAAAUCGAACUAUUUUCAGUUCAAGUAAAGAUCUUGGAACAAUAAUACACGACAAUAGCAAAAAGGUCUUAUGAGGAUUCAUAGUUAUUCUGGGGAAAGUUUCGGAGGUUAUCUCUAGAUUUUAGAGAGGACGAACGAAUUUUUUCUGGUCUUUCUUAUUUACUCGAAGAUAAUUGAUGGCAGUUUCUACUGCAAAGAUAGAAUCCUGAUAUGGUGGAUAUCAAGUGUUUUUGAGCUAAUUGAUUUUGGCUCUAUAAUUAUAUUUAGCUAAAAGGGUGUGUAAUCAAGGGAAAAUCCUUGAUGGAUUAUGUAAUUACGGAAAGAAGAGAGAUUCUCUCAAUUUCUGCUGCUUGAAAUUCUUCAAAUAAUAUUGCCAAAACCUGGAUAGCUUUCAUUUUAUUUGCAUCAGAGGACUGUUCAAAGAAUUUUGUAUGUUUGCUUUAGAAUUUGAAUUUUUCAGUCCUUGGUUUGAAAGGGUGGUCACAACAUUAUAGAAGAAGAGACCAAUGCAUUUAAAGUUGGGUAUAUAACAAGGUUGGAGAAAUUCUAGACAAGAUAAGAUAUAUGGGAUUUUGAUACCUUCAAUGAAGUAAGUGGAGUGAAAAUGGGUGCAACGAUUUUACGUUCUUUGACAGGUGAUAAUCCAGAAUUGCAAAAGCAAACAGGACAGCAUUAUAGAAGAAAAGCCAGUGCAUUGGAAGUUGGAUAUACGAAAAGGUGAUAAUCCAAAAUUGUAAAAGCAAACAUGAUAUAUGACAGACAUCUUUCAACUGUUCGAUCAUCAGCCUAUUCUUACUGGGAGGUGCAUCGUUGGCCACAACAAAGAGAGGCUGCCUCCUGAAAUCAGGUAAAACGUGGAGUAGCUGGCAGAGGUAAUUGGGGAGCUCAGAUUGAUAAAUUGGCUGAAGUUAUCGACGAAGUCGUCAAUUAUGGUGGGAUCAAUCUGAAUGCUGAAGUAUGAAUCAUCUUUUUAUCUAUAUAUUUUGAGUUUUAUAUGAUUUGGAAUUUGAAACCUAAACUAGAUAUACAAGUGAAAAUGUUUUGAAACUAAGAUUACUUAUUUAGAAUAACAUAAAAGAUGUUGUUCUCUCAUCAACAAAAAAAGAUUUUGUCUCCGCCUUAUGAGUGAACUAAGCAAGCUUAUAUAAGCCCACCUAAACAUCGUAUAUAGUAAUUGUAAACUGGGAAGUGCUAGGUAUUUUAUACUGCAGUUAUUAAUGAUUCUCUUUAAUGAGUUGGAACUUUAGCUUUGGUACUCCUGCUAAAGCCUUUUCUCUUUUGUUCCCGGGAACUGAAAUCAAUUACAUCUCCAAAUUGUAGUUUCCUUGCCAUUGGUGAAUCAAAUGCAACUUGUGGAAAGAGGUUGACAUCCAUUGUACUUCAAAUAUAUGAUAGAAGUAUAUUGAUCCUACCAUUGACCUUGGCACAUGUUACCUGUCAUAAAUGAGUUAUGAAAGGUAGGGUCAUGCAAAUGGCUAGGCUUUACUGGAUAAAUAACAGAAAAGUAUAAGGAUUUCACGUGUUGAAAAGGGGAUUUUUUUAUUUUAAAUCACAUCAAAUCUUCGAUGCAUAUUUCAUUUGUUACAAGUGAUUAUAUUAAUAGAAGAAAACUUGGAUGGUUAAUCUGAUUUUUAAUCACAUCAAAUUAUUUGUAUGUUUCAGACGGAAAGAAUGCCCAUGUGACAAGGUAACUUACUGAAGGUAUUAUUUGGCAUCGAUUUUUCAUUAUCUAUAUUUUCCCAUGAUUUAGAUUGAAUUUUGGUUCUAUCAACUUCUUAAAUUCUUUUAGUAAUGUUAUUUGCAUUAAUAGAAUAUGUGAAUAGCUAAACCUCAAUAUCAUCCACCACAAGCAACAAUAGUAACGACACUCAAUCCAUGGAUGAUGAGAAUCCCAUAAGACUGGUGACUGACAUAGUCCAUGAAACUCAAAGAGAGGUGGAAGAAAAUUCCAAAGAGACCAAAUGAAUCGAUAAAAAUGGGAGUUGGGGACUGGUUCCGCAUAUAAGAUUAGUUCUUUGUUCAAUCUACUUAUUACCAUUCUGAAUCAUGCAUAGUGAUUUGACAUUUAUUGGAUUGUCGAGUAUCGAAAUCUGCUUGUAGGAUAUCAUGUUCCAUGCAGAGGGGAGAAAGAAGGUGCUUUUAUUACCUUGACUUAAUAAUUUUAGUCAUCUAGGUUUAGAAUUUCUGUUGCAAUUCUUCAAUGUUAUUAGGUUCC
This is a long non-coding RNA of Olea europaea var. sylvestris, 2351 nucleotides long. RefSeq lists it as uncharacterized. The record is from RefSeq and is a predicted model, not a curated record. The transcript is spliced from 4 exons. NCBI's taxonomy places the organism in Eukaryota, Viridiplantae, Streptophyta, Magnoliopsida, Lamiales, Oleaceae.